Molecule: ribosomal RNA, 428 nt
Filed under: uncultured archaeon
Lineage: Archaea
Description: bacterial SSU rRNA
Rfam family: Archaeal small subunit ribosomal RNA
Source: RNAcentral
UACCAGCUCUCCGAGUGGUGUGGAUGUUUAUUGGGCCUAAAGCAUUCGUAGCCGGCUGGGCAAGUCCCCUGUUAAAUCCACCGAUUUAAUCGUUGGAGUGCGGGGGAUACUGUUCGGCUAGGGGACGGGAGAGGCAGACGGUAUUUUCGGGGUAGGGGUGAAAUCCUAUAAUCCCGGGAAGACCACCAGUGGCGAAGGCUGUCUGCUAGAACGCGCCCGACGGUGAGGGAUGAAAGCUGGGGUAGCGAACCGGAUUAGAUACCCGGGUAGUCCCAGCUGUAAACGAUGCAGGCUAGGUGUUUGGGCGGCCACGUGCCGCUCUAGUGCCGCAGGGAAGCCGUUAAGCCUGCCGCCUGGGGAGUACGGCCGCAAGGCUGAAACUUAAAGGAAUUGGCGGGGAGCACCACAAGGGGUGAAGCUUGCGGUUU